Molecule: unclassified non-coding RNA, 549 nt
Filed under: Penicillium irregulare
Lineage: Eukaryota; Fungi; Ascomycota; Eurotiomycetes; Eurotiales; Aspergillaceae
Description: Penicillium sp. 4 DT-2020 sequence contains ITS1, 5.8S rRNA gene, ITS2
Rfam family: 5.8S ribosomal RNA (bases 177-330)
Source: RNAcentral
UUACCGAGCGAGAAUUCUCUGAAUUCAACCUCCCACCCGUGUUUAUUGUACCUUGUUGCUUCGGCGGGCCCGCCUCACGGCCGCCGGGGGGCAUCUGCCCCCGGGCCCGCGCCCGCCGAAGACACCUUGAACUCUGUAUGAAAAUUGCAGUCUGAGUCUAAAUAUAAAUUAUUUAAAACUUUCAACAACGGAUCUCUUGGUUCCGGCAUCGAUGAAGAACGCAGCGAAAUGCGAUACGUAAUGUGAAUUGCAGAAUUCAGUGAAUCAUCGAGUCUUUGAACGCACAUUGCGCCCCCUGGUAUUCCGGGGGGCAUGCCUGUCCGAGCGUCAUUGCUGCCCUCAAGCCCGGCUUGUGUGUUGGGUCUCGUCCCCCUUCCCGGGGGGACGGGCCCGAAAGGCAGCGGCGGCACCGCGUCCGGUCCUCGAGCGUAUGGGGCUUUGUCACCCGCUCUGUAGGCCCGGCCGGCGCUUGCCGAUCAACCAAAAACUUUUUUCCAGGUUGACCUCGGAUCAGGUAGGGAUACCCGCUGAACUUAAGCAUAUCAAUAA